This 383-nucleotide ribosomal RNA is filed under the name uncultured bacterium. Its description in RNAcentral is "bacterial SSU rRNA". It matches the Rfam family "Bacterial small subunit ribosomal RNA", at positions 94 to 507 of the family's 1533-position model. The record is from RNAcentral.
AGUGGCGCACGGGUGCGUAACGCGUGGGAAUAUGCCCUUGACUACGGAACAACACAGGGAAACUUGUGCUAAUACCGUAUAAUGUCUCCGGACCAAAGAUUUAUCGGUCAAGGAUUAGCCCGCGUUAGAUUAGCUAGUUGGUGAGGUAAUGGCUCACCAAGGCUACGAUCUAUAGCUGGUCUGAGAGGAUGAUCAGCCACACUGGGACGUGAGACACGGCCCAGACUCCUACGGGAGGGCAGCAGUGAGGAAUAUUGGACAAUGGGGGCGAACCCCUGAUCCAGCCAUGCCGCGUGAGUGAUGAAGGCCUUCGGGUUGUAAACUACUUUUAGUAUGUGACGAUGAUGACGGUAACAUCAGAAAAAGCUCCGGCUAACUUCGUG